GAAGCCUCAUAUAGUCAUUUUGCACUGGGAUCUUCAAACUACCUUCGUGGUCCUGCCAAGAGGAAAAAUUGUCUCUAGAGAUACUCGGCUGAGUUACAGAGGUUCUCCAAUGAUUUAGUAGUGAUGGUGGUAGAAGUCACAGCAGUUGGAAACUACAAGUUUCAAAAUGUGAGGGGGAGGAAGAAAAGCAAGUACGGGGAGAAGGAAGAAGCCCUUCUGUCCAAGAGGCCUGUAAGCUGAUCCUGGGGAGAAGGGAUAAGGUCCCGGAAUUGCUGGCUGAGUGACUGUGGUUUCCACUGUAAGAUCUGAUCUACAGAGAAGAACAAUUAUGAAGCUCUUUAAGGAUGCUGGGGAUCCCCUCACAAAUUUGUUUCUCAAAGUAUCAAUGAAAGGAGAGGAACUGGAGACACAGUCACACGGGGAAGAAGCCCAUGUGACUAUGGAGCUAGAGACUGGAGUGAUGCAUCUAUCAGCCCAUGGAUGUCAACGAUUGCCAAAAACCACCAGAAGCCAGGAAGGAAGUCAUGUUCCUCAGAAGGAACAUGACACUGCUCACAUCUUAAUUCUGGACUUCUA
Molecule: long non-coding RNA, 576 nt
Organism: Equus quagga
Lineage: Eukaryota; Metazoa; Chordata; Mammalia; Perissodactyla; Equidae
Exons: 4
Source: RefSeq, a predicted model, not a curated record